Nannospalax galili (Upper Galilee mountains blind mole rat) is the source of this 411-nucleotide long non-coding RNA. RefSeq lists it as uncharacterized. Lineage: Eukaryota; Metazoa; Chordata; Mammalia; Rodentia; Spalacidae. The record is from RefSeq and is a predicted model, not a curated record. The transcript is spliced from 2 exons.
GGUGGAGCCUAGCCCAAAAGAGUUCACAUGGCAGCCAGAUUGAAAUGGAAAGAAGGAAGUGUGUGGAGCCUCGGGGGUGAAUGGCAGGGGCGUCCUGCAGGCAUGUAGGUGGCAGUUAUUACAGAGACUCAUAAGUGGUCAAAGUGCUGAAGACAAGGGACUGUUGAAUGCUCAGUUCAAAUAGGACAUCUCUAUCUCCCCCUCUGAGGCUCUGAGGACAUUGCAGAAGAAGAGGUUGAAAUAAUGGAGGAGUCAGAGGAACAGACGGAAGGCAGAGCCUUUGUAAGCGGUUGCUUAUCCAUAGCCCCCACACCUGGCACACUAUCAGAACCACAGCUAAUUUGAUAAUUGUUAACUGAGUUAAUGAAAUUGUCGGUAUGAUUAUAAAGAUAUGAUAUACUGCUGACUUAA